AGACUUUUUACCUCCCACACUUCAGAAAAAAAACACAAAACUCACUAGUAUCUUAAUUUCUAUCUCAUCUCUCCACACCCGACAUUCACCACUUAUCUUGUUCCAGCCCAGAGAAGAGAGAGAGAGCGAGACAGAGAUUUCUUAGAAGAUGUUGUCAGAUUCAAAUCUGGGUCUUAACCAACGAAUGCGAGAAACCCAAAUUCGACUUGGUCUAGUCAUGGUGAAGAUGAGACGGAACGGAGAAGAAGAUAAGAUCUGGUUUGGUAAGAUAAUAUGGAUCUAAGAGAAGUUGCAGCGGUGGUGACGUGAAGAAGAACGGAGACAAUUUCUACCCCUCUUGUUCAGAUCUGGUUUGAGGGGCUUUGAUGGCUGAUGCUAUGAUUUUGCCUUGCGGACACACUUUUGGAGCUGGAGGAAUAGAACAAGUUAAACAGAUGAAAGCUUGCUGUACAUGUUCGCAGCCCGUCUCUGAAGACUCGAUAACCCCAAAUCUUUUUUAGGAGGUAUAUGUGAGUGACCUGAACUCAUUCUCUCUCGCUUCAAGGUAUAUAUGUGAUGAGACCGUGGACAGCUCAACCAAAGAAGAUGGAAAUGAGGAGCAGCUUGAACCAGAAAAAGCAUCGGAGGAGCAGCUUGUACCAGAGGAAGCAUCGGAGGAGCAGCUUGUACUAGCGGAAGCAUCGGAGGAAGUAUUGAUCGUUGGGGCGGGUCUUCUUACGAGAUCAAAAUCCAAGAGGUUCAACCAAGCUAUCAAUGGACUAAUCAAGGAGCUGGACUAGAAGCAAGAAGACGUGGCUCAAACCAUUUGGACGAUACUCACAGCUCAGAGUGUUCGAUGAAGGGUUAAGUGUUGCUUAUGCACUCUUUUUCCCUUGUCAAGUUUUGUCCCAUUGGGUUUUCUUGACAAAGUUUUUAAUGAGGCUUAAGUGACACUUACAAGACCCCUUUGUCACCCCAUUUCGUUGUCCAAGACCCAUCUCUUUGUCUUGGCCCAUUUUCUUUCUCUCUUGUUCAAAGUUUGCAUUUAAUGCUUUUGAAAUUUCCUA
Molecule: long non-coding RNA, 1046 nt
Organism: Camelina sativa (false flax)
Lineage: Eukaryota; Viridiplantae; Streptophyta; Magnoliopsida; Brassicales; Brassicaceae
Source: RefSeq, a predicted model, not a curated record